AGGUCAAGCAAGAAAGAGCACGAGGUGAAUGCCUUGGCACUGGGAGCCGAUGAAGGACGUGAUAAGCUGCGAAAAGCUUCGGGGAGGCGCACAUAGCCAAUGAGCCGGAGAUAUCCGAAUGGGGGAACCUGCCUAAGAAAACCUUAGGUAUCUGUAUGUAAAUCCAUAGCAUACAGAAGGGAACGCUGUGAACUGAAACAUCUAAGUAGCAGUAGGAGGAGAAAGAAAAAUCGAUUUCCUAAGUAGCGGCGAGCGAAAGGGAAAGAGGCCAAACCAGGAGACAAAGUUUUCUGGGGUUGAGGACUGUGUAAGGUAUUGAAURGAGAUAGUUGAAGUGUUUUGGGAAAGCACACCAAAGAAGGUGAAAGUCCGGUAAACGAAAUUGAAAUUCAGCCGACAGUAUCCAGAGUACUACGGGACACGAGAAACCCUGUAGGAAGCCGGGGGGACCACCCCCCAAGCCUAAAUACUCCCCAGUGACCGAUAGAGAAGCAGUACUGUGAAGGAAAGGUGAAAAGGACCCCGGGAGGGGAGUGAAAGAGAACCUGAAACCCCGUGCUUACAAACAGCCAGAGGGAAACUGAUGGCGUACUUUUUGUAGAACGGUCCGGCGAGUUACAANGGGGGACCACCCCCCAAGCCUAAAUACUCCCCAGUGACCGAUAGAGAAGCAGUACUGUGAAGGAAAGGUGAAAAGGACCCCGGGAGGGGAGUGAAAGAGAACCUGAAACCCCGUGCUUACAAACAGCCAGAGGGAAACUGAUGGCGUACUUUUUGUAGAACGGUCCGGCGAGUUACAAUUACUAGCGAGGUUAACUGUUAAUAAGGCAGGAAGCCGAAGGGAAACCAAGUCUGAAGAGGGCGAUAUAGUUAGUGAUAGUAGACCCGAAACCGGGUGACCUAUCCAUGUCCAGGUUGAAGGAACCGUAAAAGGUUUUGGAGGACCGAACACACAUCUGUUGAAAAAGGUGGUGAUGAGGUGUGGAUAGCGGAGAAAUUCCAAUCGAACUCGGAGAUAGCUGGUUCUCCUCGAAAUAGCUUUAGGGCUAGCCUUGAGAGAAGUCUAACGGAGGUAAAGCACUGAACUGACGCGGGUCCCAAAAAGGAUACCAACUCAUAUCAAACUAAGAAUGCCGUCAAGAUAUCCUCAGGAGUCAGACUACGUGAGAUAAGUCUCGUGGUCAAAAGGGAAAGAGCCCAGACCGACAGCUAAGGUCCCGAAGUGUAUGUUAAGUGGGAAAGGAUGUGGGAUUUCAAAGACAACUAGGAUGUUGGCUUAGAAGCAGCCAUACAUUAAAAGAGUGCGUAACAGCUCACUAGUCGAGAGAACCUGCGCCGAAAAUAAACGGGGCUAAAACAUACCACCGAAGCUACGGAUUUCCUACGGAUGUAGGGAGUGGUAGAGGAGCAUAGUGCAAAAGGAAGAAGUCAAAGCGAGAGCAAUGAUGGACGAAGCAGUAGAGAGAAUGCCGGAAUGAGUAGCGAGAUAGAAGAAAGAAACUUCUAGGCCGAAUAUCUAAGGGUUCCUGGGUAAAGCUAAACUUCCCAGGGUAAGUCGGGGCCUAAGGCGAGGACGAAGGUCGUAGUCGAUGGAUAACUGGUAGAAAUUCCAGUACUACAAAUAAUCAGAACUGUGGGGACGCAGGAGGAUAGGUAAACCGGGGAAAGGAAAAACCCGGUCAAGCAUAAAGGUAUGUCAGAUAGGAAAAACCGUCAGACUGAGCUGAAAUGUGAUGAGGACUGAAAAAGAGUAAGGAAGUUACUAAAUCCACACUGUCAAGAAAAGCCGCUAUAGCAUUAUUUGUACCCGUACCGUAAACCGACACAGGUAGAUGAGGAGAAAAUCCACAGGCUGACGGGAGAAGUGUUGUUAAGGAACUCGGCAAAAAGACCCCGUAACUUAGGGAGAAGGGGAGCCAGUGAGAGCUGGCCGCAGAAAAGAGGCUCAAGCGACUGUUUAGCAAAAACACAGGUCUCUGCGAAACCGAGAGGUGAAGUAUAGGGGCUGACACCUGCCCGGUGCUGGAAGGUUAAAAGGAGAGGUAAGGCGUAAGCUGAAGCUUUGAAUUCAAGCCCCAGUAAACGGCGGCCGUAACUAUAACGGUCCUAAGGUAGCGAAAUUCCUUGUCAGGUAAGUUCUGACCCGCACGAAAGGUGUAACGAUUUGAGCACUGUCUCAACAACACGCCCGGUGAAAUUGAAGAACCAGUGAAGAUACUGGUUACCCGCAACAGGACGGAAAGACCCCAUGGAGCUUUACUGCAGCCUGAUACUGGGAUUCGAUGAUAUAUGUACAGGAUAGGAGGGAGGCUAGGAAGCGAGUACGCUAGUAUUCGUGGAGCCGCUGGUGGGAUACCUCUCUUAUAUCAUUGGAUUUCUAACUUGCAUCUGUGAACCAGAUGAAGGACAAUGUCAGGCGGGCAGUUUGACUGGGGCGGUCGCCUCCAAAAGAGUAACGGAGGCGCUCGAAGGUCACCUCAGAAUGAUUGGAAACCAUUCAAAGAGUGUAAAGGCAAAAGGUGGCUUAACUGCGAGAGCGACGGUUCGAGCAGGUACGAAAGUAGGACUUAGUGAUCCGGUGGUAAUAAGUGGGAAUGCCAUCGCUCAACGGAUAAAAGCUACCCUGGGGAUAACAGGCUUAUCUCCCCCAAGAGUUCACAUCGACGGGGAGGUUUGGCACCUCGAUGUCGGCUCAUCGCAUCCUGGGGCUGAAGUAGGUCCCAAGGGUUGGGCUGUUCGCCCAUUAAAGCGGUACGCGAGCUGGGUUCAGAACGUCGUGAGACAGUUCGGUCCCUAUCCGUUGUGGGCGAAGGAUAUUUGAGAGGAGCUGUUCUUAGUACGAGAGGACCGGAAUGGACAUACCAAUGGUGUACCAGUUGCAUACCAAAUGCAUAGCUGGGUAGCUAAGUAUGGACUGGAUAAACGCUGAAGGCAUCUAAGCGUGAAGCCACCCUCAAGAUAAGAUAUCCCAAAACGCAAGUGAGUAAGGUCCCUUGAAGACAACAAGGUAGAUAGGUUGGAGGUGGUUCGGUCCCUAUCCGUUGUGGGCGAAGGAUAUUUGAGAGGAGCUGUUCUUAGUACGAGAGGACCGGAAUGGACAUACCAAUGGUGUACCAGUUGCAUACCAAAUGCAUAGCUGGGUAGCUAAGUAUGGACUGGAUAAACGCUGAAGGCAUCUAAGCGUGAAGCCACCCUCAAGAUAAGAUAUCCCAAAACGCAAGUGAGUAAGGUCCCUUGAAGACAACAAGGUAGAUAGGUUGGAGGUGUAAGUGCAGUAAUGUAUUAAGCUGACCAAUACUAAUAGACCGAGGGCUUGACCUAG
RNAcentral lists this ribosomal RNA (3322 nucleotides) under Clostridium sp. MD294. RNAcentral describes it as "23S ribosomal RNA". It matches the Rfam family "Bacterial large subunit ribosomal RNA". Lineage: Bacteria; Bacillati; Bacillota; Clostridia; Eubacteriales; Clostridiaceae. The record is from RNAcentral.